UGGGAAGAAGCUCCUCCCUAAAGCUAUCCAAAAUAGAGGGACCAGCUAAUGUAUGUCCACUUGUGGAUACCAUAACAGGGUCAACCACCAAGGCUGUCUUCAAGCAUUUGAUAGCAGCAUAGUUAAUGUCGUCGAAAUUUCAAAAACAGAACAAAUAUAUUGUUUACCUUGUACGGGGAAUUCCUUCAGACUUUGACAGAGGGUUUUCACUAUGCCAGUUGACGGAAGCAUGCCUGUUUUCACAACAUUGGGCGGCAUAUCGGAAAGGACCGAUCUCAACUGCUCUGCUACAAAAUCCUCCGGCACAAUGUUCACACCCUGAACCCCUACGGUAUUUUGAGCAGUAACAGCCGUGAUCACAGUGGAGCAAUACACUCCCCGAGCAGCACAAGCCUUGAUAUCCGCUUGAAUUCCGGCGCCGGCGCCGGAAUCGGACCCGGCAACCGUCAGAACAUGAGGAACUCUAACUUUGGACUCAUCGCACGACGUAGGCGUGGCAAACUUACCGUCUUGCAUCGCCUUGACGUGCAAAAACCUAUACUGAUGAAAGCUUUUGAUACAAGCUACGCCGGGACUCAACAGAACUG
RNAcentral lists this unclassified non-coding RNA (587 nucleotides) under Hevea brasiliensis (rubber tree). The record is from RNAcentral. Lineage: Eukaryota; Viridiplantae; Streptophyta; Magnoliopsida; Malpighiales; Euphorbiaceae.